UACGUAGGGUGCGAGCGUUGUCCGGAAUUAUUGGGCGUAAAGAGCUUGUAGGCGGUUUGUCGCGUCUGCUGUGAAAAUCCGGGGCUCAACCCCGGACUUGCAGUGGGUACGGGCAGACUAGAGUGUGGUAGGGGAGACUGGAAUUCCUGGUGUAGCGGUGAAAUGCGCAGAUAUCAGGAGGAACACCAAUGGCGAAGGCAGGUCUCUGGGCCACUACUGACGCUGAGAAGCGAAAGCAUGGGGAGCGAACAGG
Molecule: ribosomal RNA, 253 nt
Filed under: uncultured bacterium
Lineage: Bacteria
Description: partial 16S ribosomal RNA
Rfam family: Bacterial small subunit ribosomal RNA
Source: RNAcentral